AUCACACACACACACACCUAGCUCGACACUUCCCUCUCAGCUCACUCAUUCUCUUCUCUCAAACCAAUCCGAGACCAUCAAGCCUCAAGAGGCCAACUUCACCCCAGAGCAUCACUCCAUAUCCUCCCUCUCGUCCCUAUCAACAUUGUAGUCGGCAUGCAUGCAUGGCGGAAUAAGCAUUUCUUAAGCAACUCAACUUGGAAUCCGACGAAACCGAGUUUUUCUAGCGAAACUCGACGGCUUACAAGCCAAUUUCUGGCCAGUUCCGACCACGGUCAGCCCUCAAGUUGGUGCAUCGGUGUCCUCUCUCAUUCGAGCGACUUCUCGAUAGUGGAAUAACUGUGAGUGGAUCCCUUCUCAAAUGAAUAUUUUAUAAAUCUUAGGAUUGCAUGCAUAUCAUAUUUCAUAAUUUGAGCAUAUUUUAAAGUAUGUUUUACGAAUUUCCAUAUUUUUGGUUUGCAGAGAAUUUAUGAUUUAUUUAAAUUACUUUAUGAAAUAUUUAUGAUUUAUUGAAUUUACAUUCUACUAAAGGUUAUGAAUUAUUGGAUUCAUAUGUAAAAUUCGGUGGAUUUACGAAUAUGAAUUAGCAUGGAUUUAUUUGAUGAGGUUUUUAGCUUUUGAGCUUUGGUGUUUUGGCAUGAGUUUUUGAGAUAUGUUUUCAGUGAUUAUCUAGUGGGUUAUCAUAUGACACAUACACACAACACAGGUAUGUAGUCUAUGGCCAUAUGACACAGUUGAUGAUAGUUAUGUUAUACCCCCAGCUUCACUGACAAACCAGUGUUGGACAGCUUCACUAGCCACGACUAGUGUCAUUGUGUUAUGCUACACAUAAAUAUGUUUCUUCUCUAGCGUAACCCAGAGUUGUACAGCUUCACAUCCAAGUGAUGGGGCCUACCAAUGUUUCUUCACUAGCGUGAACCAGUGUCGUACAACUUCACUUCAGGUGAUGGACAAGUACUACCUUCGGGCGACUAUAAUACCCCUCGAGAGUACAGUAGUGAUGAGAUUUAUGGAUUUGCCUUUGGGCGACGAUAACACCAUUUAAGCAUUGUUUUACUUAUACUUGUUUUUACGAAUGAUUUCAUGGCAUCGUAGAGUUUUCAAAAAACUUACUAUAUGUAGUAUUAUAUGUUUUCAAAACAGAGGGUUAGUAUGUUCUUAAAUAAAACGGUUUUCUUAUUAUUAGUAUUAUUAUUAUUAUUAUAAACUUUGGUCCACUCACUUUUUUGUUUUGCGCCCCUUUCAGGAGUUAAAAUCGAGACAUUCAAUUUCGAUGUCAGGGCAUCUUUAUGUAGGUAUCUACGAGUCUUUUCUGCGUAGGACCCACUCCUUUAUUCAUAUGUUUUAUUGUAAUUAUUUCAUAUAUUCCUUGAUUAGUUGUAUGCUCUGAACAUAUUUUCGCAUUGACAUAUUUCUUUCUAAUUACCUAUCUUAUUAUAUGCAUGUUUAAAAUGGCUUCGUCACCCUCGGGUAUCGACUAGCACGUGCCUAUCCUGGUAUUUGGGGAUAUCGAGAUUGAAGCGUGUCAACAAGUGUAUUUUUCUUUUUAGUUAUAAAAAGUUUGGAGUGCCAAUAACAAUUCUCUUUAUUUAUUUAUGUAAUAAUAUGAUUACACAGUAAAUUUUAUUAUUGCCCUAACUUUUGCUACCCAAGAAAGGAAGUUGCUAGCCCAUGUGGUGGAUGUAGCUCCAUUUUACAGAUAAUUGGAGAUGAAAUUUCUUAUUAGGGCUUCA
Pyrus x bretschneideri (Chinese white pear) is the source of this 1733-nucleotide long non-coding RNA. RefSeq lists it as uncharacterized. NCBI's taxonomy places the organism in Eukaryota, Viridiplantae, Streptophyta, Magnoliopsida, Rosales, Rosaceae. The record is from RefSeq and is a predicted model, not a curated record. The transcript is spliced from 3 exons.